RNAcentral lists this ribosomal RNA (253 nucleotides) under uncultured bacterium. Its description in RNAcentral is "partial 16S ribosomal RNA". It matches the Rfam family "Bacterial small subunit ribosomal RNA", at positions 524 to 776 of the family's 1533-position model. The record is from RNAcentral.
GACGAAGGUGGCGACCGUUGUUCGGAAUCACUGGGCAUAAAGAGCACGUAGGCGGCAAGGUAAGUCGGGUGUGAAAUCCCUCGGCCUAACCGAGGAAUUGCGCCCGAAACUACCGUGCUUGAGGAUGGAAGGGGAGCGUGGAAUUCCUGGUGGAGCGGUGAAAUGCGUUGAUAUCAGGAGGAACACCGGCGGCGAAGGCGGCGAUCUGGGUCGAUACUGACGCUGAGGUGCGAAAGCGUGGGGAGCAAACAGG